CAGCCGCCGCGGUAAUACGAAGGGGGCUAGCGUUGUUCGGAAUUACUGGGCGUAAAGCGCACGUAGGCGGACAUUUAAGUCAGGGGUGAAAUCCCGGGGCUCAACCACGGAACUGCCUUUGAUACUGGGUGUCUAGAGUAUGGAAGAGGUGAGUGGAAUUCCGAGUGUAGAGGUGAAAUUCGUAGAUAUUCGGAGGAACACCAGUGGCGAAGGCGGCUCACUGGUCCAUUACUGACGCUGAGGUGCGAAAGCGUGGGGAGCAAACAGGAUUAGAUACCCCGGUAGUCCCUGUCUCUUAUAC
This 301-nucleotide ribosomal RNA is filed under the name uncultured bacterium. RNAcentral's name for it is "partial 16S ribosomal RNA". It matches the Rfam family "Bacterial small subunit ribosomal RNA", at positions 509 to 807 of the family's 1533-position model. The record is from RNAcentral.